GUAGGGAUAGUGUAACUGGUAACAUUACGGUCUCCAAAACCGUCGAUCUGAGUUCAAAUCUCAGUCCCUUCGCCA
This 75-nucleotide transfer RNA is filed under the name Kamptonema sp. PCC 6506. Its description in RNAcentral is "[Oscillatoria] sp. PCC 6506 tRNA-Trp". It matches the Rfam family "tRNA". Rfam says of the family: Transfer RNA (tRNA) molecules are approximately 80 nucleotides in length. Their secondary structure includes four short double-helical elements and three loops (D, anti-codon, and T loops). RNAcentral also lists the same sequence under 3 other names. Lineage: Bacteria; Bacillati; Cyanobacteriota; Cyanophyceae; Oscillatoriales; Microcoleaceae. The record is from RNAcentral.